AUAUCUUUUGGAAUGGAGUCUAAUCGUCCAAAGGAUAGUUUUCACGUGUAGUGUUUUUCUCUUUGAUUUGAGAUAGGAGGUUUUCUGUGGCUGCUAAGCAAUACACAUAUACCUACGUGGCAUACAAUGUCUUUUUUUUUUGGUGGAAUUCUUAGCAUGCAUAUUUUUCUCAGCUAAAUGAUUUUUAACAGCAGUUAUUUAGUUCCUAUUGCACCUUUCCAAAAUUGCGUUCAUGGUAGAUACUUCUCAAAUAAGGUUUAGUUUUAUUAAAAUUCUUACGUCUUUCUGAAACAAAUAUACUAAAUCUUCCAGAAGAGCCCAUAAUAAUAAUAAUUUUUUUGCGUGUGUCUUAUGAGCCUGUGCGUAUGUGUGCACCACGCAGAUUUGUGUACACAUUUGUAUGUAAUACUGUUACAACUAUAAAUGGCAAAAGAACGUAUUUUAAGCCUCUUGGGGUUUCAACAAAUUGUGAUAAAAGGGUGGUGGUGGCCGAGAUGACUUUCUCCCACUCUAUUAAGAAAAAGUGCAAAAUGAAUGAGGGCAAACUGCUGGCUGCGAUUGUGAUUGUGCACAACUGCAAAGCGGGAUCGGCUGGGAUGGAGGCCACGGAGCAGGAACACCCCGUGUCUUGCCCCCCCUUCUGAAUGCCUCUCAGUAGUGGCAUUGUGGGGACUCAUGAAUUACUUCUUACAGUCGGGGCUCCUUGCUAUAAAUCCAGCCCUGGUGCCGAGCGCACUGUGGGCAGCGGAGCACCGAGCCGGGCCGGCGGUGUUUGUGUUGUUGUUAGCGACACGUAGCGAGUUCCUCCUAAGCGGAAAGGCCCCGGCUCCAGUUUGUCGCCAGCGAAAGCCGAAACACGAGUCGCACAUGUGGAGCGGGAGCCGUCAGCCGCCGGGCGGCGGGGUGGGGGGGUGGGGGGCUGCGGGAGCGGGGGGGAGGGGGAGGGAAUGCGGCCCGAGGCGGGGCCUAGCGCUCACCGGGGGAUUUGUUUGGGGGGCUGGGGAGGGGAGAGAGGGGACAGGGUGGGAGCAAAGAAAGUAGCCCAAGGGGAACCAGGAAAAGGAUGCCUUGACCUCUAAAUGUUGUGCCCUCCCCGUGACAUCUCACUACUUGUGAGAAUAUUUGAGAAUUAAAAUAAAAAAAAAAGGAACCCUUUGUGGUGCGGCUUCAAAAUGGUUUUCCUUCCCAGGAUAUCCUGUGCCUGUCUUUGGGUGAGUUUUUCAUAGGUUACUUGGUUAGGAGACUUCUCCUAUCCCUUUAAGAGGUAAAAACAUAAAAAACAAAUGUAAAUGUAGGGACUUUAACACUUCCCCCCUUCCUAACAUUCGUAUAAUUGCUGUUAAGCCACACUGAAAACCCUGGGGCCUGGUGUUCACCAGGGUAAAGUUACAUUUCACAAGCAGAAAAUUGACUCACCACUUAGGAAAAUUGGCUACCAAUUAUGUGUCAAAGGCUCUAAAGUCAGACCUGAGGUUUUCUUUUUGCCAGAAUGGGGAAUUAAAAAGAGCACAGGCACCCAGCUUUGUACCCACUACUCCCUCCGGGAGCAAUUCUUGCUUGCCGCUGGGUUUCUUCUGAGUUUGCUUCUAAGCCUUGGCGGGGAAGGAGGGCUCCUGGCUGAACCCAGCCAGACUGGCUAGCAGGAUGAACGGAGGCAGGAGUCAGUCAACCCUUAUAAGGGAGUUCAUGCACAAAGUGGCUUAUCCUUGGUUUUGUUUUUAAUGCCGUGAAAUUAAACCUUAUUUAGUGCUUCAUUUUCUGCCUCUAGAGGGAGAGAAAGAGAAAGCGUUAGGACCCACCAAAUUGAAUGAAUUUGCUGUGCUGUGUCGGAGAGAGUUAGUUUUGUAGGACAACCGGGAUGUAAAAUCAUUCUGGAGAUUAUCACCAGAUAAGCACCCCUCCCAAGAACACGAUGUGAUAUGUAAUAAUUUUAGUGAGGAAAACCAUCCUUGUUUUGCCUUCUGGGAAAUCUUAUGCUAUUUCUAUUUGAUUCUAACGUUGGACAAUUUCCAGAGUUCUGAAGAACCAACUAUCUUAACUCCUCAAUGAUUUUGACAGGGAAGACAAAAAAGGGACAGCAAUUCUGGGGCUGGGGCUGGAUCUCAACCAAAAUAUCUAAUUUCAAUUUAGUCCUGGCUUCUUAGCUGGAACAAAGAGAAAGUUUUUACAUUUUGCAGAAUAUUUAGUUCGCCUCAAAGUCUAUUGGGUUAAAAUAUAUGUGUGUAGUUGGCAUGCCGUGGAAGGAAGCCACGACAUAGCAGGUUGUGGUCAGGGUCAGACAUGUGGCUGAAGUCAGAGGUGGGACACAGGGAUGUGAGUACUCAAUAAUAAACACAGUGCCAGACACUCGGUACGCAGUAAUAUCUAUUGAAUGAGUUAUUGGAUGAAAAGCAAUGUAGCUUGUGGCUGUGGAGGGACUACUUCAUAAAGCCUAUCUUACUUUAUAAUAAAAGGAGGAAAACAUAAAUAAAAGACACUCAAAUAUUUAUACAGUUAUUCAAAGGAUUAAAUGUAUUUGGUAAGGUCUUAAGGUUGUUUAAUAUUUUCCCCUUCUUUUGAAUCUUUGUUUUUAGCUCUGGUACAUUGAAGAUUUUCUUUUUCCUGUGGUUUUGUUUAUAGAAAUUAACAAAUUCCCUUGUGAUCCUUAAGAAGUUACUUUAGAAAUAUACAAAUAUACAUGAAUGAGAGAAAGGGGAUAUGAAAUAGAUGAGAUAAGGAAAUAUUGUCAUAAUAACUACACUCUUUAUAUUACACUACUUAGUUAACACUACGUAUAAUUGAAUAAAUGACAACAACAGUGAGUAAUAGACUACUUAUUUGACUCAGAGAGAAAAAUCUUGGGGACCUGCACUUUAGAAGAAUAUAAUUUUACUUUUAAUUUUUAUGUUAUAUGAAUACUCUGUGGCAAUGUACAUACUCCACAUGUAUUUUCUGCCUCGUGACUUACACUGGAAGAGAGAGGAAUGAUUAGUUUAUAUGUUAAAAAUGCAGUGAAUUUUUAUUUGUCCUGAGUCCACUUCCUCCACUCCUACACACCAGCUAGGAUUCUCUUGUGAGACAGAACACACUUUAUAGUUUUGGUUUGUUUAAUUAUAUGAAAAUUUAAGUAUUCAGACAAUAGUUUUUAGUAGAUUAAAACAACAACAAUAGCGACAACCCCCACAACACCUGCAUUAACUUGGGGUCCUUCAAAAGCCCAGUGUUUCCAAUAAUGUAAUUUGUUGCUUAAUAAAUAGGAGGUUGGGCCCAAUAUCCUCUGCUAAGAUUGUCAUCACUUACACUUAAGAUGAAUUAAAUUUCUCUUAACAAACAUUAGUGGGUAUUCUAUGUAGUUAAACAUUCUGGUUAAUAGAUAAUUUCUUCAUAUGAUAUACACAGAACAUCAUUUUUAGAUAUAAUAACAUAGCUAUGAUCAAUACAGUUUUAUUCAACAAUUAGGUGUUGUAUAAGGUCCCUGGGGGAAUUGUAUAAAGUGUUCCCAUCUCUCAAAGAACUUCUCACCUAGUGACAUUUUUCUGUGAUUCAGAGAUACCUUGGUGACUUGCUGUGAAUUAGGGUCACAAUUAUGACUAUCAUUUAUCAUUGUACUGUGACUGCACAAGUGCCAGUUAAUAGAAGAUUCAGAAUGAUAGAAUGCAGAAUAAAUCACAUCACCUUUUUCUGGAGUAGUGUCUUGGUGAGCCGAAGCAGAAGCAGAGAAUGGAUACUGAUAUUAUUUCCAUCUGCAAGCCCUCAUGACGUAUGAAGUGCCGAGAGACAUUUAUGGUUUUGUUGCUACCAUUAAGACCUUUGGCAGAGUCCUAAACUUAUUUUGGUCUCUCUCUCUUUUAUUGCAAGCUAUUUCCAGCUGUUUAUUUUUAUCUUGCUUUGAGAUGUUUAAAUAAAAGACAUAAUUUGAAUCUAAAUUGUGGUUGUUAUCAGAUCUGGCUAGAAUAAUAAGACAGUGAUACCAAUUCUCCUGGCUUGAAGUUUGGAGUAGUGGGUCAUUUAUUCAUUCAGUGGACACCUACUAUGUACCAAGCGAAGACUGUUGUAGACUUUGCAUAGACUUUACAGUCUAGUGGGAGAGACAGUCAUUCAAAGAAUCACAUAAAUAAAGGUAAAAUUACAAUUGUUUUAGGUGCUAUGAAGGAAAGGGCAGGAGGAUGAUAUGAUAUGCCAGGGAGAAGAACUGGCUUAUUGAGGGUUCUGGAAAUGUGUCCUCAGUGAAGUGAUGAUCAAACUGAGCAAAUCUCUUAUGCCUGCAUUUUCCCCUUAGAGUCCAAACAUACAUGCUGGAGUCAGAUGGACAAGGGUUCCAAGCCUCCAAUGUUCCUAACUAGCCAUAAGACCUUGGAAAAGUAACCUCAUCUCUUUGGAACUUGGAGUUUUUGUCUGCAAAAUAGAGAAAGCAACAUCCAUCCUGCUGGAUUGCUUGGUGUUGUUGAAACAAUACAUUCUAUAGGUACCUGAUUCAAUUAGACAGUAGGUGCUUCAUAAAUAUCAGCUACUAUUAUUAUUUCACCUAUGAUAAAAUAUAAGUUAUGUGAAUCAGGCCUUAUCCUUUCCAGAGAUAUUUUUUAAGAGGGCUUUCCUGAAGCCUAACCUUAAGCAGCUACCUAGUAGCUCCCUGUCAUGACAUCCUAUUUAACUUUUUUAUUUUUUUUUUUUUACUGUGAAUGUUUGGUAAAUAAAAAUAAAAUAUAUGUAACACAUGCUAUAAAGUCAUCCAAACUUGUGA
Molecule: long non-coding RNA, 4720 nt
Filed under: Homo sapiens (human)
Lineage: Eukaryota; Metazoa; Chordata; Mammalia; Primates; Hominidae
Description: HSALNT0330484
Source: RNAcentral